ACGGAAGGCAGCAGUGGGGGAUAUUGCACAAUGGGGGAAACCCUGAUGCAGCAACGCCGCGUGAGUGAUGAAGUAUUUCGGUAUGUAAAGCUCUAUCAGCAGGGAAGAGGAUGACGGUACCUGACUAAGGAGCACCGGCUAAAUACGUGCCAGCAGCCGCGGUAAUACGUAUGGUGCAAGCGUUAUCCGGAUUUACUGGGUGUAAAGGGAGCGCAGGCGGUCCUGCAAGCCAGAGGUGAAAACCCGGGGCUCAACCCCGCGGAUUGCCUUUGGAACUGUGGGACUUGAGUACUGGAGGGGCAGGCGGAAUUCCUGGUGUAGCGGUGAAAUGCGUAGAUAUCAGGAGGAACACCGGUGGCGAAGGCGGCCUGCUGGACAGAAACUGACGCUGAGGCUCGAAAGCGUGGGGAGCAAACAGGAUUAGAUACCCUGGUA
RNAcentral lists this ribosomal RNA (435 nucleotides) under uncultured Lachnospiraceae bacterium. RNAcentral's name for it is "partial 16S ribosomal RNA". It matches the Rfam family "Bacterial small subunit ribosomal RNA", at positions 341 to 792 of the family's 1533-position model. Lineage: Bacteria; Bacillati; Bacillota; Clostridia; Lachnospirales; Lachnospiraceae. The record is from RNAcentral.